AUGACAAACAUCAUUCUCAUCUGGGCAGUUUUAUUCUGUGUGGAAGAAUCUUUGGGACAAAUUACUGUAACUCAGAGCCCCUCAGCAAGCGUUCAUCCAGGAGAAUCAAUCACUCUGACCUGUAAAACCAGCUCUGGCAUCUGGAGUAAUGGACUAUCCUGGUACCAGCAGAAAGAUGGAGAAGCUCCUAAACUUUUAGUUUAUACUGUGACUGAUCUCCAGUCUGGGAUUCCAUCACGACUUGCUGGACGUGGUUCACAGUUUGGAUCGGACUUCAGUCUGACCAUCAGUGGUGUCCAGGCUGAAGAUGCAGGAGAUUAUUACUGUCUGGGUCGGCACUACGUCAGUGGUGGCUAUGUGUUAACACAGUGA
Molecule: non-coding RNA, 372 nt
Organism: Clupea harengus (Atlantic herring)
Lineage: Eukaryota; Metazoa; Chordata; Actinopteri; Clupeiformes; Clupeidae
Source: the annotation of a RefSeq genome assembly